GUAUUUGCUUCAGGCUGGCGGCUGUCUGCAAGUGAGCACUGGCCUGUCUCCCAAGAUCUGUGAGAGCAAGGGAUAAUUUUUCAGGAUAGGUUGUAAAUCUUUGAUGAUGCACUGGAGAGGUUCCAGCUGGGGGCCGAAGGUGACAGCCAGUGGCGCUCCACCAUUUUCCCCGUUUGGCCUAUCCUGCAGUAGGUGACCUCUGGGUACUCUUCUGGCUCUGUCAAUCUGUUUUUUCACUUCAGCAGGUGGGUAUUGUAGUUUCAAGAAUGCUUGACAGAGAUCCCGUAGGUGUCCGUCUCUGUCCGAGGGACCGGAGAAAAUGCGGCUGUAUCCCAGAGCUUGGCUGUAGACAAUGGAUCGUGUGGUGUGUCCUGGAUGGAAGCUGGAGGCGUCUAGGUAAGUAUAGCGGUCAGUAGGUUUCCGGUAUAAGGUGGUGUUUAUGUGACCGUCGCUUAUUAGUACAGUAGUGUCCAGGAAAUGGACGACUUGUGUGGAUUGGUCUAGAUUGAAGUUGAGGUGGGAGGAAGUUUUUCUUCUCCUGCC
Molecule: long non-coding RNA, 543 nt
Organism: Chelonia mydas (Green sea turtle)
Lineage: Eukaryota; Metazoa; Chordata; Testudines; Cheloniidae
Exons: 5
Source: RefSeq, a predicted model, not a curated record